RNAcentral lists this long non-coding RNA (425 nucleotides) under Vitis vinifera (wine grape). Its description in RNAcentral is "long non-coding RNA (VVIN_LNC001024)". The record is from RNAcentral. Lineage: Eukaryota; Viridiplantae; Streptophyta; Magnoliopsida; Vitales; Vitaceae.
GGAUGCCGCACUACAUGGUGCCAAAGACAGUGGUGUUCGAGGAAGAGCUGCCUAAGACUUCAACGGGGAAGAUUCAGAAAUUUGUGCUGAGAGAAACUGCCAAAGCUAUGGGUUCGUCCCGAGUGAGUCGCAUGUAGUGGAGAUUUGGAAGCUGAGUUAACUCGGCCCUAGGUGGAGCUAGCUUAUCUCAUCUUAUUUUAUCAUAUGUUCUACUGACAAGGGCAACUAAAUGGAAUCUUUGAGAAAUUUGUGCUGAGAGAAACUGCCAAAGCUAUGGGUUCGUCCCGAGUGAGUCGCAUGUAGUGGAGAUUUGGAAGCUGAGUUAACUCGGCCCUAGGUGGAGUUGACAAGUUAGCUUAUCUUGUCUUAUUUUAUCAUAUGUUUUGCCGACACGGCAAACUAAAUGGAAUCUUUAACCUUUUUCG